AUGCACUUACUGAUUUACCUUUAAUGUUUACCAGCUUGAAAUUUUUUUUUGACAUUUUUGACAGUUCCCUCUCAUUUAAUAUAUUUCGGAUAAACUUGCUUUGUGCUGUCAUGCAUGAAUAAUAUUCCCCUCCGAGACUGACAACAAUGUAAAAAUAUAAUGUAAUUAUCUCUGCUUAUCAAGUGCAUCUUCUUGAUAGAAAGACCAAAAAUGUAGCUUAAUUAAAUUAACGGAGACCUUGAAAAACAUGAGAUCCGAUUGCGACACUGAAUCCAGAUCUGUGAUGAGGUGUGCGAUGUCUCCCACUUCACGCCUGAAAGACCCAUUCCUGCCUGGUGACUCGCUGGAUUCUGACAGGUGAUUCGCUGGAUUCUGACAGGUGACUCGCUGGAUUCUGACAGGUGAUUCGCUGGAUUCUGGCCGAUGACUCGCUGGAUUCUGACAGGUGAUUCGCUGGAUUCUGACAGGUGACUCGCUGGAUUCUGACAAGUGAUUCGCUGGAUUCUGACAGGUGACUCUGGAUUCUGACAGGUGAUUCGCUGGAUUCUGACAGGUGACUCUGGAUUCUGACAGGUGAUUCGCUGGAUUCUGACAGGUGACUCGCUGGAUUCUGACAGGUGAUUCGCUGGAUUCUGACAGGUGACUCGUUGGAUUCUGACAGGUGAUUCGCUGGAUUCUGACAGGUGCUGGUGUUUGUGUUGUUGUGAGUUAAACGUGUCUGUGUGUGUCAUAGCGCUGGGCGGCGGCGCUCCAGAUGUCCUUGCUGUGAUGUCGCUCAUUCGGCCACAUUUAGAACUGAACUCAGCGUUUUUUUACGAGACCUGUUUGUUCCAGCGCGAGUGGAAAUUAUCAUGUCAACCCCAGCGUCAUCAGCGUACUGCAGCUGGGUCAGUGGGUGUCUUUUACGCGACUGGUCAGUGUUAUAUUUUCCCCGUGACUAAUUAUCAGGAGUAUUUUUGCACUGAUUCCAAGGGUGCAACAGUCCUGCUAUCGUAAUGGUGUUAUCUGUAAUUACCGUUAAUUACGCACACACACACACACACGUAUAAUUAUAUUUAUUAAUAUAAUAAUAUUCACUCAGUGGCCUCGUUUUUCUUUAUUAGGCACGUCUGUCCAGCACUGGGUGGGACCGCUUUUCGCCUCCUGAAUUGCCUGAUUUCUUCACAGCAUGGAUUCAGCAAGGUGCUGGAAACAUUCCUCAGGGAUUUUGGUCCAUGCUGACUCAGCAGCAUCACACGGUUCCCGCAGAUUUUUCGGCCACAGGUGAAUGCUGCGACCCUCCCGCCCCGCCUCGUCCCGAAGGUGCGCUGUUGGGCUGAGAUCUGGGGGCUGCGCGGGCCACUGGAGUGAACCGAAAUCACUGUCAUGUUCGUGGAACCAGGUUGAAAUGAUUCAUGCUUUGUGACAUGGCGCAUUAACCUGCAGGAAGUAUCCAUUUGAAAAAGGGUAGAUUUUGGUCAUAAAUGGGAUGCACAUGGUCCUCAACAAUGCUUAGGUAUGCUGUGGCAUUCAAAUGAUGCUCUGUUGGUACUAAAGGUACCUAAUGUGUGCCAAAUAAUACUCCCAAGACCAUUACACCCCCACCAGCUGCCUGCACCAUUAACACAAGGCAGAUCCAUGGAUUCAUGCUGUUUACACCAAAUUCUGACCCUACCGUGUUCAUGUCACAGCAGAAAUCAAGAUUUGUCAUUUGUCCAGUCUAGUCAUCCAGAGUUUUGGUGGUGAUGUUCCCACUGUAGGCACACAGUGGCAUGCAAAGGUUUUGAAGUGAAAAUAACUUGACAAAAGCUCUGCAGGGUACAAAAUUAAACAUUUCUACACAUUUUAA
Molecule: long non-coding RNA, 1828 nt
Organism: Anguilla anguilla (European eel)
Lineage: Eukaryota; Metazoa; Chordata; Actinopteri; Anguilliformes; Anguillidae
Exons: 2
Source: RefSeq, a predicted model, not a curated record